UUCAUUGUUGUCAAUGAUGUAUUCUUUUGGGACUGAAUCUAAAUGAUUUAACAAAAGUUCGUCACUACCACUGAGACAACAGUGAA
This is a small nucleolar RNA of Psammomys obesus (fat sand rat), 86 nucleotides long. RefSeq annotates it as small nucleolar RNA SNORD70. Lineage: Eukaryota; Metazoa; Chordata; Mammalia; Rodentia; Muridae. The transcript has a single exon. The record is from RefSeq and is a predicted model, not a curated record.